ACGGAGGGUGCAAGCGUUAUCCGGAUUCACUGGGUUUAAAGGGUGCGUAGGCGGGCAGGUAAGUCAGUGGUGAAAUCUCCGAGCUUAACUUGGAAACUGGCGUUGAUACUAUCUGUCUUGAAUGCUGUGGAGGUAAGCGGAAUAUGUCAUGUAGCGGUGAAAUGCUUAGAUAUGACAUAGAACACCUAUUGCGAAGGCAGCUUGCUACACAGAAAUUGACGCUGAGGCACGAAAGCGUGGGGAUCAAACAGGAUUAGAUACCCUGGUAGUCCACGCCCUAAACGAUGGAUACUCGACAUCAGCGAUACACAGUUGGUUUCUGAGCGAAAGCAUUAAGUAUCCCACCUGGGAAGUACGACCGGAAUGUUG
This 369-nucleotide ribosomal RNA is filed under the name uncultured bacterium. Its description in RNAcentral is "bacterial SSU rRNA". It matches the Rfam family "Bacterial small subunit ribosomal RNA", at positions 525 to 896 of the family's 1533-position model. The record is from RNAcentral.